CGAUGUCCGACCGGUUCCCCCCAACGGGUCGGAGGUCAGUGGCCCCGGUCUCCCCCGACCGGGGCCACUUCCG
Molecule: small RNA, 73 nt
Filed under: Curtobacterium sp. ER1/6
Lineage: Bacteria; Bacillati; Actinomycetota; Actinomycetes; Micrococcales; Microbacteriaceae
Description: 6C RNA
Source: RNAcentral